This 764-nucleotide ribosomal RNA is filed under the name fungal sp. Its description in RNAcentral is "eukaryotic LSU rRNA". The stretch from base 515 to 764 matches the Rfam family "Eukaryotic large subunit ribosomal RNA", at positions 1 to 246 of the family's 3401-position model. Lineage: Eukaryota; Fungi. The record is from RNAcentral.
CUGCGGAAGGAUCAUUACCGAGUGAGGGCCCUCUGGGUCCAACCUCCCACCCAUGUUUAUUGUACCUUGUUGCUUCGGCGGGCCCGCCUCACGGCCGCCGGGGGGCUUCUGCCCUCUGGCCCGCGCCCGCCGAAGACACCAUUGAACACUGUCUGAAGAUUGCAGUCUGAGCAAUUAGCUAAAUAAGUUAAAACUUUCAACAACGGAUCUCUUGGUUCCGGCAUCGAUGAAGAACGCAGCGAAAUGCGAUACGUAAUGUGAAUUGCAGAAUUCAGUGAAUCAUCGAGUCUUUGAACGCACAUUGCGCCCCUUGGUAUUCCGGGGGGCAUGCCUGUCCGAGCGUCAUUGCUGCCCUCAAGCACGGCUUGUGUGUUGGGCCCCGUCCUCCUUCCCGGGGGACGGGCCCGAAAGGCAGCGGCGGCACCGCGUCCGGUCCUCGAGCGUAUGGGGCUUUGUCACCCGCUCUUGUAGGCCCGGCCGGCGCUUGCCGACAACCAUCAAUCUUUUUUCAGGUUGACCUCGGAUCAGGUAGGGAUACCCGCUGAACUUAAGCAUAUCAAUAAGCGGAGGAAAAGAAACCAACAGGGAUUGCCUCAGUAACGGCGAGUGAAGCGGCAAGAGCUCAAAUUUGAAAGCUGGCCCCCUCGGGGUCCGCAUUGUAAUUUGCAGAGGAUGCUUCGGGAGUGGCCCCCAUCUAAGUGCUCUGGAACGGGCCGUCAUAGAGGGUGAGAAUCCCGUAUGGGGAUGGGGUGUCCGCGACCAUG